GUGAACGCUGGCGGUAGGCCUAACACAUGCAAGUCGAACGGCAGCACAGUAAGAGCUUGCUCUUACGGGUGGCGAAUGGCGGACGGGUGAGGAAUACAUCGGAAUCUACUUUUUCGUGGGGGAUAACGUAGGGAAACUUACGCUAAUACCGCAUACGACCUACGGGUGAAAGCAGGGGAUCUUCGGACCUUGCGCGAUUGAAUGAGCCGAUGUCGGAUUAGCUAGUUGGCGGGGUAAAGGCCCACCAAGGCGACGAUCCGUAGCUGGUCUGAGAGGAUGAUCAGCCACACUGGAACUGAGACACGGUCCAGACUCCUACGGGAGGCAGCAGUGGGGAAUAUUGGACAAUGGGCGCAAGCCUGAUCCAGCCAUACCGCGUGGGUGAAGAAGGCCUUCGGGUUGUAAAGCCCUUUUGUUGGGAAAGAAAAGCAGCAGGUUAAUACCCCGCUGUUCUGACGGUACCCAAAGAAUAAGCACCGGCUAACUUCGUG
RNAcentral lists this ribosomal RNA (491 nucleotides) under uncultured bacterium. Its description in RNAcentral is "partial 16S ribosomal RNA". It matches the Rfam family "Bacterial small subunit ribosomal RNA", at positions 29 to 507 of the family's 1533-position model. The record is from RNAcentral.